UCUAGUUUGUUGUAUACAAGUUUUUAUUUAGGGACGAAGAUGGAGGCAUUCCUGCUAUUCAUGUCACAGAAAUACUCAAUGCCUGCCAGCUGGAUAUAAACCAAGCAUUAGCUGCAGGGAUUUUAGCGUAUAAUGAUGAGCCGAAGAGUGGCACAAUGUCACAAGAAUCCAAAAGUCGAGUUCCUUCAGUUUUUAAAAAUUAAAAAGAAAAACACGCCGAAUUUUCAUUUUUAACCUUUAUCCCUUUGGAUGUACGAAAUCCGAGUAAAAGUUUAUUGUAAAACAAA
Molecule: non-coding RNA, 287 nt
Organism: Megalopta genalis
Lineage: Eukaryota; Metazoa; Arthropoda; Insecta; Hymenoptera; Halictidae
Source: RefSeq, a predicted model, not a curated record